Molecule: unclassified non-coding RNA, 329 nt
Filed under: soil metagenome
Description: partial contains 5.8S ribosomal RNA, internal transcribed spacer 2, and large subunit ribosomal RNA
Rfam family: 5.8S ribosomal RNA (bases 1-120)
Source: RNAcentral
GAUGAAGAACGUAGCGAAAUGCGAUACUUGGUGUGAAUUGCAGAAUCCCGUGAACCAUCGAGUCUUUGAACGCAAGUUGCGCCCCUUGGUAUCCCGAGGGGCAUGCCUGUUCGAGCGUCAUUUCACCACUCAAGCCUGGCUUGGUGUUGGGCGACGUCCCCUUUGGGGACGCGCCUCGAAACGCUCGGCGGCGUGGCACCGGCUUUAAGCGUAGCAGAAUCUUUCGCUUUGGAAGUCGGGGCCCCGUCUGCCGGAAGACCUACUCGCAAGGUUGACCUCGGAUCAGGCAGGGAUACCCGCUGAACUUAAGCAUAUCAAUAAGCGGAGGA